GUGGGGAAUAUUGGACAAUGGGCGCAAGCCUGAUCCAGCCAUGCCGCGUGCAGGAAGACGCAUCUAUGGUGUGUAAACUGCUUUUGUACGGGAAGAAACACUCCCUCGUGAGGGAGCUUGACGGUACCGUAAGAAUAAGGAUCGGCUAACUCCGUGCCAGCAGCCGCGGUAAUACGGAGGAUCCAAGCGUUCUCCGGAAUCAUUGGGUUUAAAGGGUGCGUAGGCGGUUUAAUAAGUCAGUGGUGAAAGCCCAUCGCUCAACGAUGGAACGGCCAUUGAUACUGUUAGACUUGAAUUACAAGGAAGUAACUAGAAUAUGUAGUGUAGCGGUGAAAUGCUUAGAUAUGACAUGGAAUACCAAUUGCGAAGGCAGGUUACUACUUGUGGAUUGACGCUGAUGGACGAAAGCGUGGGGAGCGAACAGGAUUAGAUACCCGAGUAGUCC
Molecule: ribosomal RNA, 445 nt
Filed under: uncultured bacterium
Lineage: Bacteria
Description: partial 16S ribosomal RNA
Rfam family: Bacterial small subunit ribosomal RNA
Source: RNAcentral